This 68-nucleotide transfer RNA is filed under the name Andrena haemorrhoa. RNAcentral's name for it is "tRNA-Ser". The record is from RNAcentral. Lineage: Eukaryota; Metazoa; Arthropoda; Insecta; Hymenoptera; Andrenidae.
AGUUAAUGAGUCUGAAAUAGACAUAUAUUUUGAAAAUAUAGAAUAGAAUUAAUAUUUUCUAUUAACUU